GAUGAACGCUGGCGGCGUGCCUAAUACAUGCAAGUCGAGCGAACAGACGAGGAGCUUGCUCCUCUGACGUUAGCGGCGGACGGGUGAGUAACACGUGGAUAACCUACCUAUAAUACUGGGAUAACUUCGGGAAACCGGAGCUAAUACCGGAUAAUAUAUUGAACCGCAUGGUUCAAUAGUGAAAGACGGUUUUGCUGUCACUUAUAGAUGGAUCCGCGCCGCAUUAGCUAGUUGGUAAGGUAACGGCUUACCAAGGCAACGAUGCGUAGCCGACCUGAGAGGGUGAUCGGCCACACUGGAACUGAGACACGGUCCAGACUCCUACGGGAGGCAGCAGUAGGGAAGCUUCCGCAAUGGGCGAAAGCCUGACGGAGCAACGCCGCGUGAGUGAUGAAGGUCUUCGGAUCGUAAAACUCUGUUAUUAGGGAAGAACAAAUGUGUAAGUAACUAUGCACGUCUUGACGGUACCUAAUCAGAAAGCCACGGCUAACUACGUG
This 497-nucleotide ribosomal RNA is filed under the name uncultured bacterium. RNAcentral's name for it is "partial 16S ribosomal RNA". It matches the Rfam family "Bacterial small subunit ribosomal RNA", at positions 28 to 507 of the family's 1533-position model. The record is from RNAcentral.